UACCAGCUGAAUAAUUUAUAGGUUUAAACAAAUAUUUUGUUUUCUAUUGAUCGGCCUUGCAUAGCACUACCGACUGUGAAAAGGUUAUCGCUGAUAGUUCCCUUCCAUUGAUUAGACACUGAGGAGAGAGUUCAGUUGAGCUGAGCUUCUGGCUGUGCGAUCAUUACUCAGUUCACAAUGCUGCCAGUGACAAUAGUGCUCUGUAGUUUGGUCUUGGGGGCGCACCUAAUCUUGGUACUAGGCCUUAAGAACGAUCUUGAGGGAGGCGCUAAUAACGUUGUAGUUGAAUCGGAUGAGUGCAAAGAAGAUGAUUGCCCUUGUGCGACCUCCAGCUUAGGUUGUCCUGCGGUGGUUCGUGCUUUACCCUGUAAACAAAUCGAUGCUGUCAACUAAAAAGUGAAUGAAAUACAGAUUACAAUUAAAUAAAACCAAAAUUUGUGUUUAUUCCGAUUUUGGUUUGGUAUACAUGCUUGAACUUAGCCAAUAAAUCUAUAUA
RNA transcript from Drosophila albomicans, 496 nucleotides. RefSeq lists it as uncharacterized. The transcript is spliced from 4 exons. The record is from RefSeq and is a predicted model, not a curated record. Lineage: Eukaryota; Metazoa; Arthropoda; Insecta; Diptera; Drosophilidae.